Molecule: ribosomal RNA, 460 nt
Filed under: uncultured bacterium
Lineage: Bacteria
Description: partial 16S ribosomal RNA
Rfam family: Bacterial small subunit ribosomal RNA
Source: RNAcentral
CCUACGGGUGGCAGCAGUGAGGAAUAUUGGUCAAUGGGCGGGAGCCUGAACCAGCCAAGUCGCGUGAGGGACGACGGUCCUAUGGAUUGUAAACCUCUUUUGUCGGGGAACAAAGGCGCCCACGGGUGGGCGGAUGAGUGUACCCGAAGAAAAAGCAUCGGCUAACUCCGUGCCAGCAGCCGCGGUAAUACGGAGGAUGCGAGCGUUAUCCGGAUUUAUUGGGUGUAAAGGGAGCGCAGGCGGGAAGCCAAGUCAGCUGUGAAAACUACGGGCUUAACUUGUAGACUGCAGUUGAAACUGGUUUUCUUGAGUGAAGUAGAGGUUGGCGGAAUUCCGAGUGUAGCGGUGAAAUGCGUAGAUAUUCGGAGGAACACCGGUGGCGAAGGCGGCCAACUGGGCUUUAACUGACGCUGAGGCUCGAAAGUGUGGGGAGCAAACAGGAUUAGAUACCCCUGUAGUC